UUCGCAUUCUCUCACUCGCCAAUGGCGAUCCUCGACAUGCCGCCGCGACGAAUCCCGCUCCUCUCCCCGAGCUCUCACCCGACCCUGACGGACCAGAUCUUGCUGAGGUCCACCACCACCGAGGUGCAAAUCCGCGGCUCCUGGAGUCCUUCGGCGCCAUCCAGGAGCUCUCAUCCCAAUCCACGCCGAAUUCCAGCAGUAGGAGUAUGAGCAGAGGAGAUCGAGGAGGGAUGGGCCGUUGUGACGAGAUGGUUGGAGGUCAAGCAGCAGCGCUGGAGACAAGGACCUGCGGCACGCAGAUCUAUCAUCUUCAUCACCCGCACCAUGUGUUUCGCACAGCUCGGCACAGCUGUGGACCUGUGGUGUUGGGGCUGCAGGCUCAUCCAUCCUCCUCGCCGGUCCCUCACCAAUCCUCUUGGCACCACAUAUUCCACUGGGAAAGGUUGAACUGGCAGAAGCCAGCGGACUGAGCACGUCAUCGUGGCAUCAAACCAUAAAAUGAAGUCAGAGUCCGGCCAAAUCAUCUGCAAGCAUCCAAGAAGCAGCGCACGGCAUACCAGAUCCGAGGCGACACCACCGCCACCUGCAGCUUGUCCUCCUUGGUCUGAUUCUCCACCCUGUAUCCCCCAAAACCUCACAAGUUUGCAGGUACUGUCCUCUCUGAUCAAUAAUCUUGUUCUUCCUCUCUGCUCCCAGGUUAUUUUCUCUUAUUAUCUGGCAAUCUCUGAUGUUACUUUUGAUUUUUGUAGUAUCAUUAGUUUCAUUGUACUGAUGAACAUGACAGUAUGUAGGGAGUGUGCAUCUAGGAAGAAUGACGUGAAAAUAAAAGAUGCAUUUAUUUGAUGAUAAGAUCAAUACAAUGAUAAUCCCACAUAUAUAUAGAAACAAAUUGAAGAGGAACAAUGUACUGCUCUCGUAAUGUUCAGGCAAAUUUCUAAAAAGAAAACAGUUCAAUCCUAAACUAUGUAUUUGGUGAAGCGAUUAAUAUAGACUUGAAAUUACAAGUUUAGAAUUCGCUUUAGACUUUCUAAUUCAGAAGUAUUUAAGUUUAAAUUCAAUAAGAAUUCUGAACUGCACACAUUGUGGAAUGUUGUUCAAGGAAGGAUUGUUUACAUUUAAGCCGAACACUUUUAUGCCACAUGGGUUGUAAAUAGUCUAUCAGCAACAUUAUUUAUUAUUUACCUUCAAGCUAAACAACAUGGUGCCUUUGGUUCUUCAUGUGUCCCAACUGAUUUCUUAUCUUCUUCCUCUGCUUAUUUGCAUAUAUUCUUAAUGUUGCUUCGUUUUCAUUGAGAGGCUAGACUUCAUUUUGGUGCCACUACAGCGAUUUUUUUCUAUGAAGUGGAAAAAGGGGUCAGAAACUGAAUAUUGUUAUGCCAACACACUUCUUGCUGGCGUGUGCUUUUAUAAAUAAGAUUCAUGCUGCUGAAGAGAAUGUGAACAACAACAUUUGCUUCUACUAGGUACUUCCAUUUAUUGACAUUCACCUGCUUGUGUUGUAACAUUUAGUUCCAUCUAAGGCCCAUCAAUUAGUUAUAAGUUUUUGUACAUUUGAAUUAAGCUUCGGGGAAGAGUAGCAAAUCAUAAUUUUGAAACAUGGAUCCUUGCAUCGGUGAAUUUCUUAUGUGGGUAUAUAAAUUGUUACUACUUCGUUGGCACAGUAUGAUUUUCCGAAAUCCCUUUGGCCCAAUAUUUGCCAUGUCUUUGUUUCCUCCUUCGCUUAUAUUAAAUUUCAGCCUGAACUUAUGUUUUUUACUAACCCUAUCAGAUCAUUAUUUAUUCUAAUUUUUGUGCAAUUUUCUAUAUCGUCUUUUCUGAUUGCACUAAAACUUUCUUGUGGUAAUAUGAUCUAUUUUGUAAGUUUUGCGGUUUAUCUGUUCGUGUUUUGCAGGUGAAAAAAUGCCUUGAACGGGUACAUGCAUGGUUUGGAAAGCUAAUUAGUUGGGAAAGGUACAUGCAUAGUUUGGAAAGCCAAUAAUCUUCAGCAAGGAUACACAGACUCAUUUCUUUUUUUUUGUUUUGUAGACAUUGCUUGAUCCAAAUUAGAAUAAAAGAUCAAUUGACGAGGCUGUACUAAACCACAUAUUUAUUACAUAUUUAUUACUGAGUAGUAAUAGUAUAGUCUCUUAAUUAUCCUUUUAAAAUUAAAUUUAUGUUUACCUAUUAUUAGAGAAUUAGAAAAGCAUAGGCUCUUCGGAAGCUUUCUUGCCAAAAAAGAAGGCCCUUCAAAAGCUAAUACAUGUAUAUAUAUGAUCACAUUAUAUGCAUGUUUUUCUUCUUUAAUUUUCAAAUGCUUAUAAAUCAUCCACAAAAGUAGUGUAGCUUGUAACUCUGUAGGUGUUGAAGUGUAAUAAAAAUAAUAUAGGUUUUGUUCUGCCGAGAGGUCAUGCAAUGCUUCUCUAUUUCCAUUUCAGGUCGGGUUACCUUCAAUACAUUGCAUGGAUUCUUGCACAUAUUAUUUACUUUAUUUUUGUAACUUCUAAUUACUUGCAAGUUUAAGUUAUUUGUCUUCUGGAUUGUACGAAUGAUUUUCGCUAAUACGCUGCACACAUCUUCACCAUUGACAGUUAUAUACGUUUGAUUUCCUGAAGCAUAAGAUGAAUCAUUUAUAUAUACAUUUGAUUUCCUGAAGCAUAAGAUGAAUCAUUUAUAUGUACAUUUGAUUUCCUAAAGCAUAAGAAUAACCAUGUAUGGUUUUCUUUCCAUGUGGAAAUUAUUAUGAUAUCAUUUAUCAGAGGUGCACACAUGCAUGAUUUUCUUCUACAGAAAUUCAGAUUUAGAACUUAGAUUCGGCAAUUAUUUGACAUGCCAUGUAGUGUGUACUACGCCACUCACAAAAAGCGUAGGCUCCAUUGAGCGGCUUUGGCAGAGUUAAUCCGUACGUGGAUGUUUAGCUGAAUCCUGAAGUAUAACUUUUACGGUUUCCUGCAUAUUAUUGUUAAGGUUACUGCAAUUAGUCCACUGAUUGAAGGCUAGAUGUUGCUUCUUGAUCAACCCUGCUAGCUUUUAGAUGUUGUUUAAGUUAUAGGGAGAGCUAUUAUGUCAAUUUAUUUUUUGACAUUUUCAUUUGAAAGUAGCCAAAGCUACAACUGGACAUGUAGAUUGUAU
This 3108-nucleotide ribosomal RNA is filed under the name Triticum aestivum (bread wheat). Its description in RNAcentral is "partial small subunit ribosomal RNA". Lineage: Eukaryota; Viridiplantae; Streptophyta; Magnoliopsida; Poales; Poaceae. The record is from RNAcentral.